GAGAACUAUUCAGAAGACUAUAUAUUCUUCUAAUGGAGUACUCCGAAUUCGAUGAUGAGGUCAGCUUGUGAGCAUUUUGACCAACAGACCGGGUGCUGCGUUGGUUGUUAUUAAACUUGCUUCCACUUUUCUCAGACAUGGGAGUUCUCUCACAACUCACGAAGAAACUUAUGAUUUCUCCGCUGAGAACUAUGAGGAAGUUCAAUCAAUACUUGGGGCAAUGGCAGAAAUUGCUAAGAAGUUAACUUUUGCUUCAGAUUUAAUCGAACGCGAACAAUGAAGUAUAAUGAAAAUGAUCACAUCGUGCAGAAUCCGUAACCAAGUUUUAUACUGCUACAUGUAUGAAGGAACACAGGUAUAUAUGUUUCUAUUAACUAGUUUACAUGAUUCACAAUUUUAAUUUGUAGAUCUCAAGCACCAUGUUGAUACUCACUAAUUAAUGCUUACAAUAUGCUAAGUCAGUCUAUGGCACAAUGGAAGCUUUAUAAGACGCAGCUAUAAGGAAUUUUAUAAAAAGAAUUAUAUUCCCAGCAAAAUGUUCAUUAUUGUUAUUGUGGGGGGAUUUACAUGAAACAAAGGUUCGAGUUAAACUUUCUCAAUUUAGAGAGGAAAUCGACUCAAAAGUUCUAAUCAUUCUUUUCUUUAUCCUCUUCAAUAUCAGGCCGAUGAAGUAGUUUUAUGGAUUAAACAAUAUUUCGCAAGCAAGAAGAAAAAGUCAAAACGACAGAUUCUACCAUUCCCUUUUCAAAAAUGGGAGAACCCAGGUUGUUUGCCCACGUAGAUCCCAUGUAAAUGUAAAGGUAACUAACAGCUAAUUCAUCCAAAUGUUGCAUGGUCAUUGUGGGACAUCAAUCCGUCUUUUCUGUCUGAUCAUUAUUAGAAUUUUGAAUUCCCACAUUUGAGAAUUUCAGGAUAAUGUCUUGCUGACUAAGUUUUUCUUUUUUUGUUACUGCAUUUUUCAUGUGUUUUGAAGUUGGGGCGAGCUGAGAUGUAUUUUAGUUUUACGUUGGAAAAGAAAGGGAUUGAAAGUCUGGACGAUGUGUCUAGAUACUAUAAAAGUUUCCUGCUAGUUGUGCAACAAAUUAAAAGGAAAAUUUUCAAGGAUGAAGUGGCGACAGAUAGAGUUUCCAUCACAGAUACGCAACAUGUAUGCCAUUUGGGUAGAAUGCGACGAACAUGAAAUUAUGAAGCUUUUUUCAUGAGGUAAUUUGUCAUCCGCUCUAUUGUCAGCUUUCUGAAACAUCUAGGUGUUUCUAGUGGUGGUUGAUCAUUUGUUGGUGACGAUAAUGGCGAUGAAGGUGGUAACAUAACUGGUUGUGGUAACAUAGUCGUAAGGGAGAAGUGAUAGUGACCUAACUGCAAAGCAGUAAGCAUCUUAAAAAGUGAAAUGUUGGGUCCGUGCUUGCACGGUCAACCCUUGGCCAGUCUAAAUAGAGAUCGAACUAAAUUUUCUUCUAUUCACAUUAUUUAAAUUGUUCAAACUAGAUUCCAUGGUAUCAAAGAAAAUUGCCUAGGCUGAAACAACUGGGAUGUUUCUAAAAUGGGAGUUAUUGAAUAUAUUUCUUACGGAACCACUAAAUAAUCUUUUGGUUACAUUACUUAGGUUGAUCUAAUGAAAAGUCAGGGAAUCAAAGAAGAGGUAUUGGCAUUGGCAGAGGAACAAGAGUAUGUUCUGGAUUGGAUGCAUAGUUUUCUGCAUGAUUGCAGUGUUUCUGAGCGUUUUCUGGAACAUUACAAUACAGUAUGUUCGAACAUGUUUUCUUAAAUAUUUUUUUUCAUCAUGUUUUCCUUAGUUCUUGUUUUAAAUAACUUAUUGACCUUUCCCAUUUCGUGCAACACUUUCUAUAUGUAGGUGCAGUUCA
Capsicum annuum is the source of this 1862-nucleotide long non-coding RNA. RefSeq lists it as uncharacterized. The transcript has 3 exons. The record is from RefSeq and is a predicted model, not a curated record. NCBI's taxonomy places the organism in Eukaryota, Viridiplantae, Streptophyta, Magnoliopsida, Solanales, Solanaceae.